UGGGGAAUAUUGGGCAAUGGAGGAAACUCUGACCCAGCGACGCCGCGUGCGGGAUGAAGGCCUUCGGGUUGUAAACCGCUUUCAGUAGGGAAGAAGCGAAAGUGACGGUACCUACAAAAGAAGCACCGGCUAACUAUGUG
RNAcentral lists this ribosomal RNA (140 nucleotides) under uncultured bacterium. RNAcentral's name for it is "partial 16S ribosomal RNA". It matches the Rfam family "Bacterial small subunit ribosomal RNA", at positions 355 to 507 of the family's 1533-position model. RNAcentral also lists the same sequence under 1 other name. The record is from RNAcentral.